Gambusia affinis (western mosquitofish) is the source of this 1993-nucleotide long non-coding RNA. RefSeq lists it as uncharacterized. The transcript has 3 exons. Lineage: Eukaryota; Metazoa; Chordata; Actinopteri; Cyprinodontiformes; Poeciliidae. The record is from RefSeq and is a predicted model, not a curated record.
CUGUGUUGCUAUGCUACGUGUUGAACGUGGAUGUGAACUGUACGUGUUUUAUCUGUGGGAGACAGAUUUGGCAGAAAAUCGGGAACCUGGCGGCCAUUUUCUGCACUUCACAAUAAGACGCUGAUCACCGAUGUGCUCCAGUAUGAAGAGUGAACUGAGACGCUACUGUGGAAUUGAGACAGGAUGGUGGCAGCAUCAUGCUGCGGGGAGGCUGCUGUGUGUCGAUUUCCAGUCUUCCUGACAACGACAGCCAGGAAGGAGUGUUUCACUCUUCACUUGUUUCAUCUCUUAUCCAAACUCUCCUUCCCUUCUGAGAUGAUUCGUUCUUUUAUAAAAUCAAACUUGUAUAAUAUAGAAUAAUGUUUAUCCAGAGAAUUUUGCUGCUUCUGUCAUUUAUUAAACUUAGCUAAAUAUAGCAAGCAUUUAGAAAGAAAGUGACCCACAUCCUGUUCUGAUUACUGAGAAUAAAUUUGUCCAGUUGAGCCUAAAAAUAUGAAAUUAGACACCUUUCUUUUAAAACAGCAAAAUGUGCAAAUUCCUUUUAAAGUUUUGUAUCUACAAAGAUGAACAUUUCUUUACUAAAACAUUCCCCCCAAAAUCUGAUCACUUUAUUAGCCUGAUUUUUGUUCUUUUCUUUUUCUUCUUUCAAGAUUGGACACCGUUGGCCUAGUCAAAGUCUAGACCUAAAUCCAACUGAGAAUCUGUCACAAGACAGUACAAAAGUACUGACACAACUUUCUAUCCCAAAACUAUUGUAGCUGCAGGAAAAUAUGGCUCUACAAAAUACUGACUCAGAGGAUGAAUACAAAUAAAAAGCAGUGAACAAAGUAAAUAUUAUAGGAAGCUAUUAAUCUGCUUCAACAAACCAAACAAACCCCAGAGUCUGUCUGUCUGUCUGUUUUUAACAGAAACUUGUCAAAACCUCGACAAACAUGUUUAACAAGGCUGGAGAGAAAACUGGAGACACUCCUGCAGGUCUGUGAGCGGCAGCAGAAGUCUCGCUAUCGCUGCCGAUAGCAGGGUUAUCUGUAAUUACAGCAGCAGGCUUCUCUCUCUGGUGCAUGUGACAACUUUCCUCUCGUUUCUAAAAUGAAUGCAUGACCCGAACGGCACCCCUUCAUGUCGCUGAGCGCUGAUUGCUGUGCUAAAAGCUAUCUUUGUGAAAGUGCUGUCCAAGAGCUCUUUUUCUGCACGUUGUGCUGGGAUUUCAUGAUGAUUUAUGUGACCCCAUUAAAUUAGCCUACAAGAAAAUCAAGCAAGGGUGAAACCUUAGUGUUGUCGAACGUUCCUCUGUUGGCAGCUUUGCUCCUGAAUCUAAAAUUCAACUUUUGAAAGCUUUAAAGUUCUCAGCGGACAUUCAGUGGCAGAAGUCCUCUUCCUGUUAGAAGGCUAAUCACUCUGCUGCUACCAUGUUGUCAUUCCAACAUACCUUUGUAAGUCGCUCCGUGUCAGUGCUCCAUCAUUAGUCCGGGUAAUGGCCUCUCUCAGUCUCCCAUGUACAGUUAGACCAACAUGGUUUUAUCUCUGUCAUCACAUUAGGUUGAGUGGGGAAAAUCACUCCUAAUGACACAGAGAUUAUUGGCAUUGUGUUUUGGUUUACCAGUAAAUGCUCGCCGUGCCACUGGGAUUUCCCCACAUAAGCCCUCCCUAUCAGUUUACAAUAACUUGUGCAUUCUGCUGUUACCCAGAAGGAUACUGGAACAGCACAGCAACCAAGUGUCGUUUCACUUAUUCACAAUGUCACAGAAAAUUUAGUCAAAAAUCAGAUUCCACAGAAACUACCUGAAACUAAUUGUUCAUUAAAUAAAAUAUUAAACCCACAUUCAUCUGUAAGACACUGUUAAUAUACCAGGUCAUUCAUAGCACUGGUCAAAUUGACAGACCACAUUAAAACACAAAUGUAAUUUAAGGACAGAUGUGAUAUAAAUGAGAUGCAGCUGAGCUCUAUAAACAGUUUAACUUCUACACUGAAAUAAAAUCAGACACCAGUUUU